Molecule: non-coding RNA, 762 nt
Organism: Thamnophis sirtalis
Lineage: Eukaryota; Metazoa; Chordata; Lepidosauria; Squamata; Natricidae
Source: RefSeq, a predicted model, not a curated record
GACAAGACUGGGUCUCAUGUUUUUAGCCUCAUGCUGCACUGCCACACCAAUCUGGCUGUUUUAUCAUUAAGCAACCUCAACUGAAGAGUUUAUAAUAUUUAGAAGACAUUCCCAGAAUUUAGCGUGCAUAACUUGCUGGCAGGCAUAUUAUAUGACAUCAUUUCCCUGGAAUUUUUCCAAGUUAAAGUAUUAUUUAAUUUGUCUCUUCCCUGCACUGUCAUUAUCAGUGAGAAUUUCAAGUGUGCCAGGGCCACACAUGUUCUUGGAAGCAGUUAUACAAUCUCAGUUGUGACUGUUGAAACAGGGGAGUUGGCUAAGAUAAAUAAAUAAAUAAAUAAAUCUCAUCCCUACUUUUGCUGAGCUACUUUGAAUAGUUUCUGAAUAAAAGGUGUAGGGUCAGCUUGAGAGAUCUUCUCCUGUUGGACCAGGACCGGAAGGUUCCUGGAAGUCGCAUUGGGUGUUUGGGGAAGAGGGGUGGAGCCACGCAGCCCAAUGUUGGUACACACUGUAAAAUCUCUGCAUGCUGCUGCCGUGAAUCCUCCUCUCCCCUUGCUCUCUCGCUGAUGUCGCCCCAUGCUUCUCUCAAAAGCGGAGGUAUCAGCCUGCGUCCUCUAGAACCGAGCGUGUUGUUCUAGAGAAAUCGGCCGAAGAAAGAAGCUCCGGACGUUUGCAAGUAUUAAGCUUUGUAGAUUGAGACAAGGCAGGAUCCACGGCUGCCAAGGACAAAAGAUCACGAGGACCCCAGGCUCAAAUAAUUAUUUG